AAUUGACACGUUGUUUGCAUUUUGCAUAACAAAAGCAUAAUAGCCGUCUCAUUGGUGAUUGGAAAUCCUUUGAGAAAUCAAAGGCAAAGUACCUCACCUAAUGGGUGCGAGUGAAAACUUUUGUUUUCAUUCCGCAUAUUAUCUACGUUUAAUUUUUGAAUUACAUUUUUAUAAUCUUGCAUAAGCAUUGCAUAAAUAGAUUUGACCAGUUGUAGAGCAUAGUCGACUAAUCAGGGGUAUUAUACACAGGUACACCUUCCGAUUAUAUCUAUCGGGAUUGAUCAGAUCCCUAUGCAUCAGUUU
Molecule: long non-coding RNA, 303 nt
Filed under: Carica papaya (papaya)
Lineage: Eukaryota; Viridiplantae; Streptophyta; Magnoliopsida; Brassicales; Caricaceae
Description: long non-coding RNA (CPAP_LNC003080)
Source: RNAcentral